Molecule: ribosomal RNA, 274 nt
Filed under: uncultured bacterium
Lineage: Bacteria
Description: partial 16S ribosomal RNA
Rfam family: Bacterial small subunit ribosomal RNA
Source: RNAcentral
UACGAAGGGGGCAAGCGUUGUUCGGAAUCACUGGGCGUAAAGAGUUCGUAGGCGGUUCAAUUAGUCAGAGGUGAAAGACCCCAGGGCGUCAACCUUGGAAAUGCCUUUGAUACUGUUGGACUAGAAUCCGUGAGAGGGUGGUGGAAUUUCCAGUGUAGAGGUGAAAUUCGUAGAUAUUGGAAGGAACACCAGUGGCGAAGGCGGCCACCUGGCGCGGUAUUGACGCUGAGGAACGAAAGCGUGGGGAGCAAACAGGAUUAGAUACCCCGGUAGU